GUGGGGAAUAUUGCGCAAUGGGGGAAACCCUGACGCAGCGACGCCGUGUGAGGGAAGAAGGCUUUCGGGUCGUAAACCUCUGUCAGAAAGGAAGAACCUCCCAAGUCCGAAGGGCUUGGGACUGACGGUACUUUCAAAGGAAGCACCGGCUAACUCCGUGCCAGCAGCCGCGGUAAUACGGAGGGUGCAAGCGUUAAUCGGAAUCACUGGGCGUAAAGCGCGCGUAGGCCGCUUUGUAAGUCGGACGUGAAAGCCCUCGGCUCAACCGUGGAACUGCGUUUGAUACUGCGAGGCUUGAGUCCUGGAGAGGGUGGCGGAAUUCCAGGAGUAGGAGUGAAAUCCGUAGAUAUCCGGAGGAACACCGGUGGCGAAGGCGGCCACCUGGACAGGUACUGACGCUGAGGCGCGGAAGCUAGGGGAGCGAACGGGAUUAGAAACCCGGGUAGUCC
This 449-nucleotide ribosomal RNA is filed under the name uncultured bacterium. Its description in RNAcentral is "partial 16S ribosomal RNA". It matches the Rfam family "Bacterial small subunit ribosomal RNA", at positions 354 to 796 of the family's 1533-position model. The record is from RNAcentral.